Ribosomal RNA from Bison bison bison, 120 nucleotides. Lineage: Eukaryota; Metazoa; Chordata; Mammalia; Artiodactyla; Bovidae. The record is from Ensembl.
GUCUACAGCCACACUGCCCCGAUCACACCCGAGCUUGUCCUGCUUGGAAGCUAAGCAGGGUUGGGCUUGGUGAGUCCUUGGGUGGGAGGCAGAGAGAGGGAACCCGUCCCGCUGGAGGGU